AGUCGAACGGCAGCACGGAGCUUGCUCUGCCUGGCGAGGGGCGAAGGGGUGAGUAAUAUAUCGAAACGUACCCUUGAGUGGGGGAUAACGUAACGAAAGUUACGCUAAUACCGCAUACGAUCUAAGGAUGAAAGUGGGAGAUCGCAAGACCUCAUGCUCGUGGAGCGGCCGAUAUCUGAUUAGCUAGUUGGUAGGGUAAAAGCCUACCAAGGCUCGAUCAAUAGCUGGUCUGAGAGGACGACCAGCCACACUGGAACUGAGACACGGACAGACUCCUACGGGAGGCAGCAGUGGGGAAUUUUGGACAAUGGGCGAAAGCCUGAUCCAGCAAUGCCGCGUGAGUGAGAAGGCCUUCGGGUUGUAAAGCUCUUUUGUCAGGGAAGAAACGAUGAGAGCUAAUAUCUCUUGCUAAUGACGGUACCUGAAGAAUAAGCACCGGCUAACUACGUGCCAGCAGCCGCGGUAAUACGUAGGGUGCAAGCGUUAAUCGGAAUUACUGGGCGUAAAGCGUGCGCAGGCGGAUUUGUAAGUCUGAUGUGAAAUCCCCGGGCUCAACCUGGGAAUUGCAUUGGAGACUGCAAGGCUAGAAUCUGGCAGAGGGGGGUAGAAUUCCACGUGUAGCAGUGAAAUGCGUAUAUAUGUGGAGGAACACCGAUGGCGAAGGCAGCCCCCUGGCUCAAGAUUGACGCUCAUGCACGAAAAGCGUGGGGAGCAAACAGAGAUUAGAUACCCUGAUACUCCACGCCCUAAACGAUGUACUACUAGUUGUCGGGUCUUAAUUGACUUGGUAACGCAGCUAUACGCGUGAAGUACGACCGCCUGGGGAGUAC
RNAcentral lists this ribosomal RNA (830 nucleotides) under Janthinobacterium sp. RNAcentral's name for it is "bacterial SSU rRNA". It matches the Rfam family "Bacterial small subunit ribosomal RNA", at positions 60 to 883 of the family's 1533-position model. The record is from RNAcentral. Lineage: Bacteria; Pseudomonadati; Pseudomonadota; Betaproteobacteria; Burkholderiales; Oxalobacteraceae.